GACGAACGCUGGCGGCGUGCUUAACACAUGCAAGUCGAACGGAAAGGCCCUGCUUUUGUGUGGUGCUCGAGUGGCGAACGGGUGAGUAACACGUGAGUAACCUGCCCUUGACUUUGGGAUAACUUCAGGAAACUGGGGCUAAUACCGGAUAGGAUCUCCUGCUCCAUGGUGGGGGUUGGAAAGUUUCGGCGUUUGGGGCUGGACUCGCGGCUUAUCAGCUUGUUGGUGGGGUAGGGGCUUACAAAGGCUUUGACGGGUAGCCGGCCUGAGAGGGUGACCGGCCACAUUGGGACUGAGAGACGGCCCAGACUCCUACGGGCGGCAGCAGUGGGGAAUAUUGCACAAUGGGCGGAAGCCUGAUGCAGCAACCCCGCGUGCGGGAUGACGGCCUUCUGGUUGUAAACCGCUUUCGCCUGUGACGAAGCGUGAGUGACGGUAAUGGGUAAAGAAGCACCGGCUAACUACGUG
RNAcentral lists this ribosomal RNA (468 nucleotides) under uncultured bacterium. Its description in RNAcentral is "partial 16S ribosomal RNA". It matches the Rfam family "Bacterial small subunit ribosomal RNA", at positions 28 to 507 of the family's 1533-position model. The record is from RNAcentral.